This 687-nucleotide ribosomal RNA is filed under the name Methylobacterium sp. sh_10. Its description in RNAcentral is "bacterial SSU rRNA". It matches the Rfam family "Bacterial small subunit ribosomal RNA", at positions 780 to 1461 of the family's 1533-position model. The record is from RNAcentral. Lineage: Bacteria; Pseudomonadati; Pseudomonadota; Alphaproteobacteria; Hyphomicrobiales; Methylobacteriaceae.
AGAUACCCCUGGUANUCCCACUCNGUAAACGAUGAAUGCUAGCUGUUGGGGUGCUUGCACUUCAGNAGCGCAGCUAACGCUUUAAGCAUUCCGCNUGGGGAGUACGGUCGNCAAGAUUAAAACUCAAAAGGAAAUNGACGGGGGCCCCGCACAAGCGGUGGAGCAUGUGGUUUAAUUNGAAGCAAGCGCGCAGAACCUUACCAUCCUUUGACAUGGCGUGUUAUGGGGAGAGAUCCUCAGUCCUNUUCGGAGGCGCGCACACAGGUGCUGCAUGGCUGUCGUCAGCUCGUGUCGUGAGAUGUUGGGUUAAGUCCCGCAACGAGCGCAACCCACGUCCUUAGUUGCCAUCAUUCAGUUGGGCACUCUAGGGAGACUGCCGGUGAUAANCCGCGAGGAAGGUGUGGAUGACGUCAAGUCCUCAUGGCCCUUACGGGAUGGGCUACACACGUGCUACAAUGGCGGUGACAGUGGGAUGCGAAGGGGCGACCUGGAGCAAAUCCCCAAAAACCGUCUCAGUUCAGAUUGCACUCUGCAACUCGAGUGCAUGAAGGCGGAAUCGCUAGUAAUCGUGGAUCAGCAUGCCACGGUGAAUACGUUCCCGGGCCUUGUACACACCGCCCGUCACACCAUGGGAGUUGGUCUUACCCGACGGCGCUGCGNCAACCGCCANGGAGGCAGGCGACCCUC